AGGUCACUGCUAUCGGGGUUCGAUUAAGCCAUGCGAGUCGAGAGGGUUCAAACCCUCGGCGGACUGCUCAGUAACACGUGGAUAACCUGCCCUAUGGUGGAGGAUAACCCCGGGAAACUGGGGAUAAUACUCCAUAGAUUAGAGAAACUGGAAUGUUCUUUAAUCGAAAGUUCCGGCGCCAUAGGAUGGAUCUGCGGCCGAUUAGGUAGUUGUUGGGGUAACGGCCCAACAAGCCUGUAAUCGGUACGGGUUGUGGGAGCAAGAGCCCGGAGAUGGAAUCUGAGACACGAUUCCAGGCCCUACUGGGCGCAGCAGGCACGAAAACUUUACAAUGCACGAAACUGUGAUAAGGGAGCCCCGAGUGCCCGUAUACGCGGGCUGUCCAGGUGUCUAAAACGCAUCUGAAGAAAGGGCCGGGCAAGACCGGUGCCAGCCGCCGCGGUAAUACCGGCGGCUCGAGUGGUGACCACUUUUAUUGGGCUUAAAGCGUUCGUAGCUGG
This 500-nucleotide ribosomal RNA is filed under the name uncultured archaeon. Its description in RNAcentral is "bacterial SSU rRNA". It matches the Rfam family "Archaeal small subunit ribosomal RNA", at positions 21 to 528 of the family's 1478-position model. The record is from RNAcentral.